RNAcentral lists this ribosomal RNA (253 nucleotides) under uncultured bacterium. Its description in RNAcentral is "partial 16S ribosomal RNA". It matches the Rfam family "Bacterial small subunit ribosomal RNA", at positions 524 to 776 of the family's 1533-position model. The record is from RNAcentral.
UACGUAGGGUGCAAGCGUUGUCCGGAAUUAUUGGGCGUAAAGAGCUCGUAGGCGGUUUGUCGCGUCGAAUGUGAAAACCCGGGGCUCAACCCCGGGCCUGCAUUCGAUACGGGCAGACUAGAGUUCGGUAGGGGAGACUGGAAUUCCUGGUGUAGCGGUGAAAUGCGCAGAGAUCAGGAGGAACACCUGUGGUGUAGACAGCUUACUGGACGAUAACUGACGCUGAGGCACGAAAGCGUGGGUAGCAAACAGG